Molecule: ribosomal RNA, 569 nt
Filed under: uncultured bacterium
Lineage: Bacteria
Description: partial 16S ribosomal RNA
Rfam family: Bacterial small subunit ribosomal RNA
Source: RNAcentral
UGGGGAAUAUUGCACAAUGGGCGCAAGCCUGAUGCAGCAACGCCGCGUGAGGGAUGACGGCCUUCGGGUUGUAAACCUCUUUUAGCAGGGAAGAAGCGAAAGUGACGGUACCUGCAGAAAAAGCACCGGCUAACUACGUGCCAGCAGCCGCGGUAAUACGUAGGGUGCAAGCGUUGUCCGGAAUUAUUGGGCGUAAAGAGCUCGUAGGCGGUCUGUCGCGUCUGCUGUGAAAUCCCGAGGCUCAACCUCGGGCCUGCAGUGGGUACGGGCAGACUAGAGUGCGGUAGGGGAGAAUGGAACUCCUGGUGUAGCGGUGGAAUGCGCAGAUAUCAGGAAGAACACCGAUGGCGAAGGCAGUUCUCUGGGCCGUAACUGACGCUGAGGAGCGAAAGCGUGGGGAGCGAACAGGAUUAGAUACCCUGGUAGUCCACGCCGUAAACGUUGGGCGCUAGAUGUGGGGACCAUUCCACGGUUUCCGUGUCGCAGCUAACGCAUUAAGCGCCCCGCCUGGGGAGUACGGCCGCAAGGCUAAAACUUAAAGGAAUUGACAGGGUCAUAGCUGUUUCCUG